Long non-coding RNA from Mastomys coucha (southern multimammate mouse), 1158 nucleotides. RefSeq lists it as uncharacterized. Lineage: Eukaryota; Metazoa; Chordata; Mammalia; Rodentia; Muridae. The transcript has 4 exons. The record is from RefSeq and is a predicted model, not a curated record.
CACAAAAUUCCACACCAUUUAAUAGAGGGACUUGAACUCCUCAGAUUAUAGUGUCUGACAAAGGUCCCCCAUGGAUAUUGAGGGGCAGUUAAAAUUACUUAAUUGUCCAGGCAGGUUUGUGGUUUAUAUCAAACCCAGGCAGUGAACUGCCAAUAAAAUGGGGGUGGAGAGUAGGGCUCCAUCUUUCCUCCCACUCUUGCUCACUGUGCCCCGGGUCCACUGGUCCUUCAGCCCCUCAACCUCUCAAAGUUAUCCUCUCCCAUGUAUCAUCUUCCCCAAAUAUGCAUGGCAUGUUUUCUCAUAACCUCCAUAUCCUCAGAGAGAGACUGCCAUGUGACUUAGUUUAAAUUGGGAUUUCUGCCACCUUGGCAAAGCUUUUGACACCUUCUCUGCUUCAGUUUUCCCUUACUGCUGAUGUAUUGUGUAUAUUGUCCAUCCCCUCUACAUAUAUAGUCUCUCUCCUUCCCUCCAUCCCCUCUUUUUUCUCCUAUCACCAUAAGAGAUUUGAAUUCUCUACAUAAGUGUAGAAUUUUCUGGUGGCUCAAACGUUUUGGAUUUGGGAGUGUUUCAGAUUUGGUGUCUGGGAUUAGUGAUUCUCAGUCUGUAGACCAGUUUCUGGUAUUGUGAUUGAAUUGUAGCCGUUACAGCACCGUGAACCACAGAAGGAAGAGACAUCCGGUCAUUCAAACACACAGGAAUCCCAGGGCAGCUUCAGAAGAGCCGUUUAAGCAGCUGCUACGCACCUGUUCGAGGCGAGUCUCUCCUCUCUUUUUAUUGUGAAGUUGAAGAAAACCCAUAAAGUCAAAGCCCUAGUGGAUUUCCUUUCCUUAAGAAAUGGCCACUUGAAAGACCAUCAUGCUGUUCUAAGCAGAAACCAGACCAAAUGAAGGAGGCUGGGAACAAAUGAGAAGAGACGAGCUGCUGAGAAACGUUUCUGAGACAGUGGUCAGAGGGAAACACCAAGGAAGGUAUGUUAUCCACAAGUAAAACCAAGACAACCACGGUCUCCUCGAGAGCGUUAAGAACACGGUGCCAUCGAUGCCAUCGACUCUGGCAAUGGCUGCCUCCAAACACCCCCUUCACCAAUUCCAAAUGGAAGACAUGUUGAAACUAAUGAGGGGCUUUUUUUUUUUUUCCUUUCAAAAUCAUGUGCAUGGA